AUGCAUUUGCCUGACUAUAUUGAUCCUGCCCAGCAAGCUUUUAUUAAAGGUAGAUGCAUUAGUAACAAUAUCAUUACUGUACAAGAGGUCACUCAUUCUUUUGCUCUCAAAUCUUGGAAACAUCAAGCUUUCUUGCUGAAAAUUGACCUUGUGAAAGCGUUCGAUUGUCUCGAAUGGAAUUUCAUGGUCUCUGCUCUUUCUCGUAAGAGGCUGCAUGAUCAUUUUGUGAAUUUGAUUUUUGCGUGCAUAUCGUCUCAUGUGUUCUCUGUAAUUAUUAAUGGUCAACUUUUUGCGAAUUUUCGCAGCAUAAGGGGCAUCAGACAGGGUUGCCCGUUGUCUCCGUAUCUCUUUGUUCUUGCGAUCAAUGAGAUCUCUUUGGCUUUGCAGGAGGCCAUGGCCCAAAACCGUCUUACAGGUAUCUCUUUUGGUCCAACUUGUCCUCCCAUACAUUCCAUGCUUUUUGCUGAUGACUUGCUUAUGUGUGGGAAUGCUUCUCCCCAUGAAGCUAACCAGAUGACCAAUCUCAUAAAUCAUUUCUGCCAGUCUUCAGGGCAAACUCCUAAUUGGGACAAAUCCUUUAUCAUGUUUAGUGCUAAUGUUAGGCAACAAAUUUUUGAUCACAUUAGACAGAUUUUUCGUGUCCCUCUUAUCAGCCAUACCUGCACUCAUUUGGGUCAUCUUUAG
RNAcentral lists this ribosomal RNA (684 nucleotides) under Triticum aestivum (bread wheat). Its description in RNAcentral is "partial small subunit ribosomal RNA". The record is from RNAcentral. Lineage: Eukaryota; Viridiplantae; Streptophyta; Magnoliopsida; Poales; Poaceae.